Molecule: long non-coding RNA, 341 nt
Filed under: Musa acuminata (dwarf banana)
Lineage: Eukaryota; Viridiplantae; Streptophyta; Magnoliopsida; Zingiberales; Musaceae
Description: long non-coding RNA (MACU_LNC001347)
Source: RNAcentral
CCAUGGCCCUACUAUCCGUCGUCUCGCAUCUGCAUCCCUUUUCUUCAUGAUCAGUAGAUAUGUCUCCGUGGCACUCCUCUAAGUCCACCUACAUUCUAACUGAUGUUUGAUUUUGGGUAGCUAAGUCCCUUUGGACUCGUCGUCGCUUCCUCGCCCCUUUCGACCCCCUACUUCAACACCUCUGUGUUCUCCAAGCAGCUCUCCUUUGGUCGAUGGAAAGACAGUCUGCAACUUCCAUGCAUGGCCUCUGCCAUCACAUUAUAGGGUUUGCACCGAUUCUGUUCUCCUUAGCUUCCUUGGUAGCAACGUUCGCUUACUCGACCUUGUCCUCUGACUUGUCG